GGAGGAGUGUCCGAGCGGUUUAAGGAGCUGGUCUUGAAAACCAGUGUCUCUGUCAAGGAGCCAAGGGUUCGAAUCCCUUCUCCUCCGCCA
RNAcentral lists this transfer RNA (90 nucleotides) under Oscillospiraceae bacterium. Its description in RNAcentral is "tRNA-Ser". It matches the Rfam family "tRNA". Rfam says of the family: Transfer RNA (tRNA) molecules are approximately 80 nucleotides in length. Their secondary structure includes four short double-helical elements and three loops (D, anti-codon, and T loops). Further hydrogen bonds mediate the characteristic L-shaped molecular structure. tRNAs have two regions of fundamental functional importance: the anti-codon, which is responsible for specific mRNA codon recognition, and the 3' end, to which the tRNAs corresponding amino acid is attached (by aminoacyl-tRNA synthetases). tRNAs cope with the degeneracy of the genetic code in two manners: having more than one tRNA (with a specific anti-codon) for a particular amino acid; and 'wobble' base-pairing, i.e. permitting non-standard base-pairing at the 3rd anti-codon position. Lineage: Bacteria; Bacillati; Bacillota; Clostridia; Eubacteriales; Oscillospiraceae. The record is from RNAcentral.